UACGCAGGGCGCGAGCGUUGCUCGGAUUUAUUGGGCGUAAAACGCUCGUAGGCGGCCUUGUAAGUCCCUGGUGAAAUUCGGCGGCUUAACGGUGGAACUGCGUGGGAGACUGCAAGGCUAGAGGGCGGGAGAGGUUAGUGGAAUUUCCGGGGUAGGGGUGAAAUCCGGAGAUACCGGGAGGAACACCUGUGGCGAAGGCGGCUGACUGGACCGUCUCUGACGCUGAGGCGCGAAAGCGUGGGGAGCAAACCGG
Molecule: ribosomal RNA, 253 nt
Filed under: uncultured bacterium
Lineage: Bacteria
Description: partial 16S ribosomal RNA
Rfam family: Bacterial small subunit ribosomal RNA
Source: RNAcentral